Molecule: ribosomal RNA, 894 nt
Filed under: Escherichia coli
Lineage: Bacteria; Pseudomonadati; Pseudomonadota; Gammaproteobacteria; Enterobacterales; Enterobacteriaceae
Description: partial 23S ribosomal RNA
Rfam family: Bacterial large subunit ribosomal RNA
Source: RNAcentral
CGGGACACGUGGUAUCCUGUCUGAAUAUGGGGGGACCAUCCUCCAAGGCUAAAUACUCCUGACUGACCGAUAGUGAACCAGUACCGUGAGGGAAAGGCGAAAAGAACCCCGGCGAGGGGAGUGAAAAAGAACCUGAAACCGUGUACGUACAAGCAGUGGGAGCACGCUUAGGCGUGUGACUGCGUACCUUUUGUAUAAUGGGUCAGCGACUUAUAUUCUGUAGCAAGGUUAACCGAAUAGGGGAGCCGAAGGGAAACCGAGUCUUAACUGGGCGUUAAGUUGCAGGGUAUAGACCCGAAACCCGGUGAUCUAGCCAUGGGCAGGUUGAAGGUUGGGUAACACUAACUGGAGGACCGAACCGACUAAUGUUGAAAAAUUAGCGGAUGACUUGUGGCUGGGGGUGAAAGGCCAAUCAAACCGGGAGAUAGCUGGUUCUCCCCGAAAGCUAUUUAGGUAGCGCCUCGUGAAUUCAUCUCCGGGGGUAGAGCACUGUUUCGGCAAGGGGGUCAUCCCGACUUACCAACCCGAUGCAAACUGCGAAUACCGGAGAAUGUUAUCACGGGAGACACACGGCGGGUGCUAACGUCCGUCGUGAAGAGGGAAACAACCCAGACCGCCAGCUAAGGUCCCAAAGUCAUGGUUAAGUGGGAAACGAUGUGGGAAGGCCCAGACAGCCAGGAUGUUGGCUUAGAAGCAGCCAUCAUUUAAAGAAAGCGUAAUAGCUCACUGGUCGAGUCGGCCUGCGCGGAAGAUGUAACGGGGCUAAACCAUGCACCGAAGCUGCGGCAGCGACGCUUAUGCGUUGUUGGGUAGGGGAGCGUUCUGUAAGCCUGCGAAGGUGUGCUGUGAGGCAUGCUGGAGGUAUCAGAAGUGCGAAUGCUGACAUAAGUAACG